UUUACUGUAUUUUUAUGGUAAUCUCCCAUAACUGACUCUCCCUACCCCCAACAUCCUCCUUUGUCUUUAGCUGAGGGUGGUAUUUAAGGAGAGAGCUUCUGAAAUUUUGGCGAGUUUCUCAGUUUGCCUGAGCCUCUCCCUUGUAUACAUGUUAUAAAGCUUUGUUUAAUUUUCUCCUGUUAUUCUGUCUCAUGUCAAUUUAAUUUGUUGUUCUGCCAGAAGGACCCAGAGUGGGUAGAGGAAAUGUCCUCCUCCCCUACAACAGUAAGUCUUGUAAUUUUCACAGCCCAAUAAAGUAAACAAAAAAAACAAGGAGAAGCAAUUUAGGAUUGCCAGCUUUUUAAUUUUACCAAGUAAGUUCUUUAAAAACUAUUGCACACAACGUUUGCUAUCUAUUAUCACUAUCAUUCUUUAAAAAAAAUAAUAAAGUCAUAGAGGAUAUAUUUUUAUAUUGAAAUCAUGUGCUUGACGGAAAACCUUACUACUGUCCUUUUGCUCUUAUUUAGUGUAAAAAAACUUUCGUCAUGGCCCCUGGACUGAUUACUAGAGCUCCUGGCCCCUGGGCUUCUUAGAAAAGAGAGCCUGAGACUAGAAAUGCCUUCUCUUCCCGUGGGGACCCUUCCUGAGAGGAGAGAGAGACAGCUGAGAUGGAGUUACCACCUGCAGCCCAGGAGCCUGGGGGCUUUCACACCAGCUGUACUGUGACCGCAAGGAGAGAGUCUUUUUCAAAUCUCUUUAUCUCUAACACCUAGGACAAUGCCUGGUACUUAGCAGGUAGGUCCUUAAUACGUUUUGGGGAAUGAUGAUAUUAACAACACAGCAUCAGGGGCCUGCUCCGUGGCCGAGUGGUUAAGUUCGCACGCUCCGCUGCGGCGGCCCAGGGUUCGGAUGCUGG
Molecule: non-coding RNA, 895 nt
Organism: Equus caballus (horse)
Lineage: Eukaryota; Metazoa; Chordata; Mammalia; Perissodactyla; Equidae
Source: RefSeq, a predicted model, not a curated record